UACGUAGGGGGCAAGCGUUGUCCGGAAUCAUUGGGCGUAAAGAGCGUGUAGGCGGCCCGAUAAGUCCGCUGUGAAAGUCCAGGGCUCAACCCUGGGAUGCCGGUGGAUACUGUCGGGCUCGAGUCCGGAAGAGGAGUGUGGAAUUCCUGGUGUAGCGGUGAAAUGCGUAGAGAUCAGAAGGAACACCAGUGGCGAAGGCGGCUACCUGGACUGAUACUGACACUGAGGCGCGAAAGCGUGGGGAGCAAACAGG
This 253-nucleotide ribosomal RNA is filed under the name uncultured bacterium. RNAcentral's name for it is "partial 16S ribosomal RNA". It matches the Rfam family "Bacterial small subunit ribosomal RNA", at positions 524 to 776 of the family's 1533-position model. The record is from RNAcentral.